Molecule: ribosomal RNA, 464 nt
Filed under: uncultured Klebsiella sp.
Lineage: Bacteria; Pseudomonadati; Pseudomonadota; Gammaproteobacteria; Enterobacterales; Enterobacteriaceae
Description: bacterial SSU rRNA
Rfam family: Bacterial small subunit ribosomal RNA
Source: RNAcentral
CCUACGGGGGGCUGCAGUGGGGAAUAUUGCACAAUGGGCGCAAGCCUGAUGCAGCCAUGCCGCGUGUGUGAAGAAGGCCUUCGGGUUGUAAAGCACUUUCAGCGGGGAGGAAGGCGGUGAGGUUAAUAACCUCAUCGAUUGACGUUACCCGCAGAAGAAGCACCGGCUAACUCCGUGCCAGCAGCCGCGGUAAUACGGAGGGUGCAAGCGUUAAUCGGAAUUACUGGGCGUCAAGCGCACGCAGGCGGUCUGUCAAGUCGGAUGUGAAAUCCCCGGGCUCAACCUGGGAACUGCAUUCGGACUGGCGGGCUGGAGUGUUGUAGAGGGGGGUAGAAGUGCAGGGGUAGCGGUGAAAUGCGUAGAGAUCUGGAGGAAUACCGGUGGCGAGGGCGGCCCCCUGGACAAAGACUGACGCUCAGGUGCGAAAGCGUGGGGAGCAAACAGGAUUAGAUACACGUGGAGUC